RNAcentral lists this long non-coding RNA (612 nucleotides) under Equus caballus (horse). RNAcentral's name for it is "lncRNA (ENSECAG00000030957.3)". Lineage: Eukaryota; Metazoa; Chordata; Mammalia; Perissodactyla; Equidae. The record is from RNAcentral.
CAAGCAUUUACUCAGUCUGGGGUGUUAGGCACAGGAAAACUAGCAACAUCCUUCCUCUAGCCAAGGACCUUGUAAUCUUGUUAGAGAGACAAGAAUCUGGGCUCUUAAACAAUCAACGUCCUGUAUAAGGGACAAAAAGGGAAGACACAGGGAACAAAUAAAAGCCAUUUCCUUUUUGAGAACUUUCUUACCUCCAGAACACAAGGAAGUGGGCUUUGGCAAUGAUCUCGGCAGAAACCUCAGCCACAGACCACUGGGCGAUCAAGAAUGCUGCUGUGGCUUCCUGGGGACCCACAGCGCCUGUCCACAUGGAUCAAAUAACUCAAGUGAGUCAAACUUCCUCUCCCUGAACUGUGCAGACGUGGCCCCAGGCUUGGAGGCUUCUGGAAACCCUCAGAUGUCGAGUAUCGACUGGACAGAGCAUCCAGGUGUCCGGCUGAACUUUUCUGUAUUCACGCAGAUGUUCUAAGUCACAGGCAGUGGACGGAGUUCCUUGGAAUACUCACAAGGCCUCAGUCGUUACAGGAGCUGGAUCCUCUCCAGUCCGGGGUUCACCAGUUGAGAUCCUGGACAUGGACACACGCACCACUCAUCAGGCCAUGCCGAGGCAGC